AAGGAUACAAGGAUACUACUCUUAGAGAAGCUAGUUUUAUUGUAGGUACCAUAAAAGAUCUCUUAAUGGGGAUUUACGGGCUGUCUGGACCUGGAGUGCAGAGGGAAGAAUCUAUGAAGAGUCCAUUAGGAUAGUAGGAUAACACUCCAAACCAUUUCAGACACUAUCUCUUCCCCUAAAUAAAAACAAAUAACCAGUAUGAGAAUGGAAUUUUGGAAAUGCAAGAAGACGUGGACAUAAAGGAAUAUCAGAAGAUCCUUCUACCACUCAUCUAUCUAUUACAGUAAUAUUGACACUGACUAGCAACUGACCUCCAGGAUUUCUGAGAAUUUCUUUUAGCUCUUCAUGGAUUGUCUAGAAUUAAAACAGAGAUCUUCCAGAUACAAAACACAUGCUGACCCUUGCAGGAAAUUUUUGUAGAAACAACAAAAGUUUUCAGUCUGAAGUAUAGGACACUGGUCAUCAAAGGAACUUUUUAGAGUGCAAUAAUUUUGUGAUCCCAACUAUUUCCCAAGAUUUUUUCUUUAUAUGGGAGAUCAAUAGAUUUAUAAAUUCUUUUUCUUCCCAAGUUUUUUAUUUUUUAUUUAUUUUUUUACAAACAUAUCAAUGUGUGAACAGUAUGGCACCUGAGUGUCUUACAUUUUAGUACAAAUAAAAUAAUAUUUAUAAUA
Long non-coding RNA from Pantherophis guttatus, 671 nucleotides. RefSeq lists it as uncharacterized. Lineage: Eukaryota; Metazoa; Chordata; Lepidosauria; Squamata; Colubridae. The record is from RefSeq and is a predicted model, not a curated record.